GUCGCGCAGGUGAGACCCGCUGCUCUUUGCUUUUGAGAUGGGUCGAGGAGUGGUUUGCUUAUGGCGGCUGUUGUCUUGUGUAGGCUUUCUUUGACCUCGAGAAUGGCAACCAGGAGCUCAAGAGCGAGCUCAAGGACCUGUACAUCAACAAUGCAGUGUAAGUGUGCCCGUUCUCUCCAUGCAAGCCUCACUCCCGGUCCCGGCCGAUUGCUCGUGAGCAGUAUAUUCGUUUUGAUGGUUAGUGCAACGUGUGAUGUGGUUGCGGAUUUGUGUGGAUGUGCAGCCAGAUGGAUAUUGCCGGGAACAGGAAGGCUGUGGUGAUCCACGUGCCGUACCGUCUGCGCAAGGCAUUCAAGAAAAUCCAUGUCAGGCUUGUCAGGGAGCUCGAGAAGAAGUUCAGCGGCAAGGUCAAUUACGUCUUUCCCAUUUGUCUACUGUGUUGCAUAGGUCGCAUGCUAGGAGUUCAAUUUACUAACUCAUAAUACAUUGUUGUUAGUUCUUAAUGUUGCGUGUCGGGGCGCAAAACCUGUAGCUUAUGUUGUUCAUGCUUAACAUGCAACGUAGAUACUGUUAGUUUGGUUGAAGAUAAAAUGUUACCCUUUUAGCGCUGAAUUUGUAAUAUCAUACUGUUGAUAUAACUGCUAACAUCUUGGAGAACAUACACGGUAUUGCAAGCACCGUUUGUAAGGCUGCGACCUGAGCAUUUUCCAUUCAUCUACUAGCAUAGUACUGGCUUUCUAUAUCGACACUGAAGUGUCUGAUGUACACAUGUAGUGGUUAACUGGCCUGGGGGUAUCAUCUUAAGUUACUCUGAGGAUACCAUCGAAGGGUAAACAUCAAUUUGUGUUGCUUACGAAAUCCUGGCAUUUUUGUUUUUUAACCUUGUUUCAUGCACGACAGACUUCUUAAUUUGUGUUAUAUUUGUAUGACCUUGGUGUCAGUUUGUUGUUACCAUUCUCUGAACAAGUUACUAUUACUUGACUAUUUGUGUUGAUAUUGUAUGUUAAACUACAAACAGGAUGUGGUAAUUGUUGCAACAAGGAGGAUUGUGAGGCCUCCCAAGAAGGGCUCGGCUGUUCAGCGCCCUCGCACAAGAACUCUUACUGCUGUUCAUGAUGGUAUCUUGGAGGAUGUAGUCUACCCAGCUGAGAUUGUUGGCAAGCGCAUCAGAUACCGUCUGGAUGGUGCCAAGGUCAUCAAGGUAGAUGCUACAAACUUGUGUCCCUUCUAAAUUGUCAUUUUAAUAUUUUAUAUUGUGCUCAUCUGUCACUGCAUGUACUCUCUACCAGCUACAUCAGCUUCUCCACUAUAAUUUGCAAAAACUGAAAUCAUUGAUGUUUUUUUUUCCUCAUGUACAAUGGGCUUGUUGUAAGCCUGUAACUAAUCCUGCAGCAUGACACUUCUGUUUGCUAGGUUAGUAUUGACCCAUGUGUUUUGAUGUGUUUUCAGAUUUUCUUGGACCCAAAGGAGCGCAACAAUACCGAAUACAAGCUCGAGACCUUCUCCGCGGUCUACCGCAGGCUUUGUGGGAAAGAUGUUGCCUUUGAGUACCCUAUGACUGAAACUGCUUGAAGAUGCAUUCCUUGGAUUGUUCCCAAUGUAUUCCAGAAAUCAUAGUUUUGAUGCCAAAGUUGGUACUUGGGUAUUUGUUACUUUGAGACGACAAAUCGACUUGAACAAUGUUAAAGUUUUGGGCAUUUAAAUUAUAGACCUUUGCUUUGGCACGGUUAGCUUGUUUCAAUCCAUUGUUUGUUGUGGAAUUAGUUUUCACUUAUGUGGUAGGGGAAGAAUCUCAUUAUGACCGCCUAUUUCAUUUUUUUUGCUCCAGCUACUCGUUAUCUGUUACCUUAGUCAUUUAAUCGUUGUUUUGUUGGGCCUCCUGCUUGCAUCCGUUUUGUCGUUUGAUCUCUUGAGAGCGGCCAGGCUUAUGAAAAAACACCCUCGUAUUAAAGAGGAACGUCACGCCGUUAUCGUUUUUUUGGAUUGAGAAAUGGAAAAAUAGUAAAUCUGCAUAUUGUAAAAAUAAGGGCUAUUUGAUUCGUAGGGUACAAUCAAACGGCUGUAUUUAGAAUUGUGUUUUUCUUAUUGAUUUGUUCUUUUUUCAUUCCUUCGUUUUCAUUCUUUUUUUUUCUCGCAGUCUGAUCAAAUGUCUGUUUAGAAUUAUGUUUUUUUCUAUUUUUUCACAUUUUAAGAGGGGGUGUCAUAUCUGGUAUCGUGGGUAGGUUCCGGGGUAUGAAUCAGUUAUGGGAGUCAAAGUGGACUUAUUCCUACGGAGUAACCCUCUAGAGCACAAGUCACGGCCCAAAGGAGGUCGAAGGCCCAUUUUCCGAAAUGGAAUAAGUCCUAUUUGCCCCCCUGAACACAUGCCCCUAGUUGAAUCAUAUCUCUCAACCGUAAAACCGAGUAUAACCAGUCCCCCGUCUUUCAAAGUUUUGUGCUACAUGCCACUUACGUGGUAGGUUAACUUGGUCUUCAUCCCAUGUGACGCUUACGUGGCAUUAAAAUAAAACAAACUUAAAUGGGGCCCACAUGGCAGUCAGUAAAACAAUUAAAAAAAUUCAGACCUACUUGUCAGUUACCCUUUCUCUCUCUAAUGUGAAUGGCGGCUGCAGCGACGAGUGAGAUGGAGGGGCUUGCCUAUCGUGGUGCAUGGGUGGGGAGGAAUCAGUUGCCACGGCGCGCGCGCGCGGGUGUGUGUGUGGGGGGGGGGGUUGCCAUUCACGGCGCUCCGCGAGCUCAACGGCCACAGCACACGCACGGCGAGGACUCGCCUGCCACAGCACGCAAGGGGGAGGGCUUGCCGGUCGCAACACAAGCGGGGCAGGGGCUCGUCGACCUCUGACUCCACCUCCCGAAUCGGCGAGACAACGCGACAGCCACGUAAAUCCGACAGCGCAGCGGCGGUCCUAUUUCUAUUCUCCCCCCAAUCCCCACACUCUCUCCCCUCGCCGCCUUCUCAUCAUAGCAGGGCGGCAAACGGUGGCGGCUGUGGCUAUAAACAACAUCCACCAAGGAGAUGAUGACGAACGAGCUCAGGGAAAGCUAGAAUAGCGUCAACAUGGCUCGGCAACAGCGUCUCCGAUGCUAAGUCGCCAAGAACAAGCACCUCCCUGCUCCCUGGUCGAAGAGGAGUGCUUGUUGCCAGCUGUUGUCGCUCCUCUUCGCUGUUGUGCCGCCCGCGAGAAGAUGGAGUGUCUCUAUUGCCGCUGAUGGGUUGUAUGACGCUCGGAGAUGCCCAACGCCUCACCGCCGCUUGGACCAACCAUGGCAUGGCUGGAUCCCACCACUAGGUCCGAGCCUCUGUUUGGCGGCAUAAGAGAGAAGGAGAGAUCCAGUGGUCGUAGAGGCGGUCGGGGUGGUCGUGCACGAGAGGGAAUUUCCAGCGCUGAAGCCGGUGUGGGUGCACGAUACCAUUGGCCUGCUCCUGUCCUGAGUCAGCACUAGAGAGGUAGCAACAGCACUAGAACACCCUCCCGCCACUGAUGGCCCCGAGAGAGAGAGAGGGGGGGAUGGAGGGAGGGAGAAAGGAUGGGAGGAGCCGCCGGUGCCCUCCGAGUCUCCGACUCGUCGCUGUCGGCCCGCUGCCACCCUCUCAGCAGACUUGAGCUGCUGCUGGAAACUUGAGGAGAGGAAGAUGCAAGGGAGGAAAGAGGGAAGAGAUUGGUGAGAAGAUGAGUGGAGACUUACAUUUGGGCCCCACAUGCUAACUUAGCCGAUUGAUCAGGUCAAUGAGCCACGUCAGCGAAAACCCCCAUCCAAUACUGUUGAGGGAGUCAAUUUGCAAUGGUUUUAUGAGUUGGAGGAUGGGUUAUACUCGGUGCAGUUGAGUAAUGCGAUUCAACCACGGGCAUGAAUUGAAGGAUGCAGAUUAGACUUAUUGCCAGGCUAGAGAGCUCACAGCCUGCUGGCCCAACGAUGCGAUGCCUAGGGUUUAUAAGAACACUUCCUGGCCACCCCCUCCGCCGCCUCCGAAUCGUAGCGCCGGCGCUGCCACUUCCCUCGCUCUCGCAUCUUCUCCUCGCGCCCAGGUAUCUCUCUCUCUCCAUCUAUGCCUCAAAUCCGCACGACGCUAUAAUUCGUCUUCUUCGCUCGGUUUGCUUGAUUGCUGAUCUGACCUUGUGUGUGUGUGCGUCUCUGGGGAUCGAAUCUUGCGGCAGGGGCCAGGUAAGCGAAGAUGUACACCGCGAGGAAGAAGAUCCAGAAGGAGAAGGGCCUCGAGCCCUCCGAGUUCGAGGACUCCGUCGCGCAGGUGAGACCCGCUGCUCUUUGCUUUUGAGAUGGGUCGAGGAGUGGUUUGCUUAUGGCGGCUGUUGUCUUGUGUAGGCUUUCUUUGACCUCGAGAAUGGCAACCAGGAGCUCAAGAGCGAGCUCAAGGACCUGUACAUCAACAAUGCAGUGUAAGUGUGCCUGUUCUCUCCAUGCAAACCUCACUCCCGGUCCCGGCCGAUUGUUCGUGAGCAGUAUAUUCGUUUUGAUGGUUAGUUAGUGCAAUGUGUGAUGUGGUUGCGGAUUUGUGUGGUUGUGCAGCCAG
Molecule: long non-coding RNA, 4531 nt
Filed under: Oryza sativa (Asian cultivated rice)
Lineage: Eukaryota; Viridiplantae; Streptophyta; Magnoliopsida; Poales; Poaceae
Description: long non-coding RNA (OSAT_LNC000535)
Source: RNAcentral